CAAGGCGACGCCAGGCCGCUUUGCGCGCUGAAACUACAUUUCCCAGAGGCCACGGCAGGCUCUUUGGCGUUCCUCUUAGGGCAGCUAAUUCUCCGGGCGUUAAGCAGCACGUGCGGGCUUUCGUUCCGUCCAAGUCAGGCUCCGAGUCCUCCUCAAGUCCUGAAGUAACGCCCGGGAAAGGCAGUGACCAGCGAGAAUUUGACGCGGGAUAAAGUCGGUCCGUCACCGCGGGGAGCGGACCGGGGGCGGUCCGGGAGGACGGAGUAAGAGACACAACGGCCAGGAGAAAUGAGAGGCAGAGGACAGAAAACUACAGUCUGAGAAUCAGCUGUCAGCUUGAUCAAAAUUACAAGAGCCAAGAUCAAUACUGAACCAACAAAAAGGCCUGUGGGCAGGAGGCUUUACUAUGAAGCAUGAGAAAAGGACUGAAAGACUAACUUUAAGGAAAUCUUUACAUCUCCUGGCAUUCUUCCCAUCAAACAAGACCAUGUAGGAUGCACCUGCUGCUCCCUGGACUCAGAAUGGUUUCCUACAUGGCCCAUCACUUUGUCAGUUCUUGGAGAGACCAGGGAAUCCAGAGUUUCCUACAUGACUGGGGAGUCCUUGGAAAUGAGUUUCAUCUUGAGUCAAGGAAGAAGAAUCACAUCCUGACAAGGACAGUUGCUUUGUCCCCAAGCCCAGGGCCAUAAAGAAGAGCUGGCAAAGUGUCCCCAGAUGCUGAUAAGUUUGUAGGAUUUACAUUGGACUGAUUAUACAUGUGGCUAACAAGUGAACCCUGGCCCAUAUUCAUGGAGAAGGCCUACAGCAGACCCUGGGCCAGAACUGGGAGGAACAUAUCUCCUCAGGGAAAAUUCCCAUACCCAGUGAGACCAGGUUACUGUAGUUCUCCAGCAUCACUUCCUGGUACACGUUUCUCUGAGAAGGACCCAGCUUCCUCCACUCAUCCCGUGUAAAGAGCACAGCCACAUCCUCGAAGGUCACCGACACCUGUAAUGACAAGCCAUCCCAGCUCACCCAGGACCUCUCAUCACACAGGAAUUUACAGUCCAGCUGGCAGACAAAAUAAACACAUUGGAUCAAUGAAAGAAGAAUGUGUACCUGGGCGGGACUAUAUACCAUCUCCCAGAUCUAUCCUCAUUUUAGAGAUAAGGACCAGAAUCUGGUCCAGGACAGUCAAGACCACAGGCC
Long non-coding RNA from Lutra lutra (Eurasian river otter), 1188 nucleotides. RefSeq lists it as uncharacterized. The transcript is spliced from 6 exons. NCBI's taxonomy places the organism in Eukaryota, Metazoa, Chordata, Mammalia, Carnivora, Mustelidae. The record is from RefSeq and is a predicted model, not a curated record.